AUAACCCUGCUGUGUUCGUGAUGCAGCACGACCGGUUUUGAGCCAACACCAAUUAAGAGGGUUCCAAUAUCACUUGAGUGACGCGAUAGACUUCGGUCAAGGCGGAUCUCGGUGGAGGAUCCCAUACCUGCGAAUGCAGGUUCAAAACUACGCAGCACACGGCACGGCGGGGGGUUU
Bellilinea caldifistulae is the source of this 177-nucleotide non-coding RNA. It matches the Rfam family "6S / SsrS RNA". From Rfam's summary of the family: E. coli 6S RNA was the first non coding RNA to be sequenced, but its function was unknown until recently. It consists of 184 nucleotides that fold into an extended hairpin structure with a large single-stranded internal bulge. NCBI's taxonomy places the organism in Bacteria, Bacillati, Chloroflexota, Anaerolineae, Anaerolineales, Anaerolineaceae. The record is from Rfam.